This 532-nucleotide ribosomal RNA is filed under the name uncultured bacterium. RNAcentral describes it as "bacterial SSU rRNA". It matches the Rfam family "Bacterial small subunit ribosomal RNA", at positions 774 to 1296 of the family's 1533-position model. The record is from RNAcentral.
AGUAAAUAGAUACCCUGGUAGUCCACGCUGUAAACGAUGAGUGCUGGACGUUGGCGGGUUUACCUGCCGGUGUCGCAGCUAAACGCGUUAAGCACUCCGCCUGGGGAGUACGGUCGCAAGAUUAAAACUACAAAGGAAUUGACGGGGGCCCGGCACAAGCGGUGGAGCAUGUGGUUUAAAUUCGACGCAACGCGAAGAACCUUACCAGCUCUUGACAUGGGAAGUAUGGGCCCGUGGCGACGGGGUCCGUUCAGUUCGGUCUGGCUUCCACACAGGUGCUGCAUGGCUGUCGUCAGCUCGUGUCGUGAGAUGUUGGGUUAAGUCCCGCAACGAGCGCAACCCUCGUCUCCAGUUGCCAUCGGGUUAUGCCGGGCACUUUGGUAGAAACUAGCCGGUGACAAGCCGGAGGAAGGUGGGGAUGCGUCAAGUCCUCAUGGCGUUAUGGGCUGGCCGACACACGUGCUACAAUGGCGGUGACAGAGGGCAGCGAAGGGUGACCCGGAGCCAAUCUCUAAAAGCCGUCUCAGUUCGG